CCGGCGCACGGGUGAGUAACACGUAUGGAACCUGCCCUAUGCAGGGGGAUAAGCGGAAGAAAUUCCGUCUAAUACCGCAUAACACCUUUAGGAGACAUCUUCUUGGGGUCAAAGGAGGCGACUCCGGCAUAGGAUGGCCAUGCGUCGCAUUAGCUAGUCGGCGGGGUAACGGCUCACCGAGGCGACGAUGCGUAGGGGUUCUGAGAGGAAGGUCCCCCACACUGGUACUGAGACACGGACCAGACUCCUACGGGAGGCAGCAG
This 263-nucleotide ribosomal RNA is filed under the name uncultured bacterium. RNAcentral's name for it is "partial 16S ribosomal RNA". It matches the Rfam family "Bacterial small subunit ribosomal RNA", at positions 95 to 354 of the family's 1533-position model. The record is from RNAcentral.